RNAcentral lists this ribosomal RNA (460 nucleotides) under uncultured bacterium. RNAcentral's name for it is "partial 16S ribosomal RNA". It matches the Rfam family "Bacterial small subunit ribosomal RNA", at positions 338 to 795 of the family's 1533-position model. The record is from RNAcentral.
CCUACGGGGGGCAGCAGUGAGGAAUAUUGGUCAAUGGACGAGAGUCUGAACCAGCCAAGUAGCGUGAAGGAUGACUGCCCUAUGGGUUGUAAACUUCUUUUAUAUGGGAAUAAAACGUUCCACGUGUGGGAUUUUGUAUGUACCAUAUGAAUAAGGAUCGGCUAACUCCGUGCCAGCAGCCGCGGUAAUACGGAGGAUCCGAGCGUUAUCCGGAUUUAUUGGGUUUAAAGGGAGCGUAGGUGGAUUGUUAAGUCAGUUGUGAAAGUUUGCGGCUCAACCGUAAAAUUGCAGUUGAAACUGGCAGUCUUGAGUACAGUAGAGGUGGGCGGAAUUCGUGGUGUAGCGGUGAAAUGCUUAGAUAGCACGAAGAACUCCGAUUGCGAAGGCAGUUCACUGGACUGCAACUGACACUGAGGCUCGAAAGUGUGGGUAUCAAACAGGAUUAGAUACCCCGGUAGUC